UUGUCAACAGAACAGCUGAUUUCUCAUGUUUACAAUUUUCGGCAGCUGGUGGUAGGGUAAAAAUAACAACAACACUACGCAUGUUCAAUGGUCGGAUAGUAACGAAACCAAAUUGGCGGUGCAAAAGUAAUGGUUAUGCAAAAUUCUUAAUUUUUUAAACUACCUUAAACUAAAUAAUUGUAGACAUGAAAUACUUUGAAGGUAAUGUUGAUGUUAUGUAAUGUUAAUUUGAAAAAAUAAUUUCUUUUGAAGAAAUAAUUGAACAGUGCUAGCCUCCCAAGUUCAAAAUGGCGACCAGUAGGUGUUUACAUUUUUCAAAACAAAAACAAAAAGCUACCCUACCACUAUCUGUCUCAGGAAAUGCUCUAUACGCGAAAAAUCGUCGCGAGUGAAAUUCUGCUGCCCCGGGGAAAAGUCGGGAGAAAAAAGGAAAAGAAGGAGCCAAAAAGCUUCGGAAAGUAAAAGCCAAAACUUGGCAAACACCAGACUUGGGCAGACCGCACCACGUGCAUCUUUGCACCCGCCAUCCGACAGCAAAUUCGGCUCUGUGUCGGCAAAAAGGGCAAAUUCAGCCGGGAAAUUCGGCUUGAGAGGGGUCGAGGCGAGGAAAAGAUCUUUAAAAAGGUCGCUCAGGCAAGUAAAUACUUUUGUAGAGUAUGUUUGAUUACACUAAUACCGGUGCAACACGCACAGGCGGCCUUUUUUUUUCUCAUAUCAACUCCCCCAUCUCGCUGGUACCGUCGGAGACUUUCCCCAGGGCCGGCAAGCAACAGGUCCACGCAUCCAAUCGGCUCCAAUCUGCGUUCCAUCGCCGCACUGCUAGCGAAGAAAUCCCGGCGAACUCGGGCCAAAACCAUUCGCUCUGCGUCGGCGCGCCAGUAGCGCAAGGAUUUCGGGGAUACCGCUGCCGAUCCGGACGGGAUCGCAUCGCCGCAGCGAGGAGCAUCCGAAGCAGCCACCGAAGCUCCUUGCCGCAUCUGUGGCGUAACCUCCGGGAAUCGCCGCCGAAGAAAAGGGCCUCUGACCGCCGAAGCAGCCACCGAAGCUCCUUGCCGCAUCUGUGGCGUAACCUCCGGGAAUCGCCGCCGAAGAAAAGGGCCUCUGACCGCCGAAGCAGCCACCGAAGCUCCUUGUCGCAUCUGUGGCAUAACCUCCGGGAAUCGCCGCCGAAAAAAAGGGCCUCUGACCGCCGAAGCAGCCACCGAAGCUCCUUGCCGCAUCUGUGGCGUAACCUCCGGGAAUCGCCGCCGGAGAAAAGGGCCUCUGACCGGGCGCAGCAGCCGCCGAGAUUCCUCGCCGCAUCUGUGGCGCGACCACAGCCGGAGCAAGGGUCCUCAGACCGCCGCAGCAGGCGAUCAUCGGGCGCAGCAGCCGCCGAGAUUCCUCGCCGCAUCUGUGGCGCGACCACAGCCGGAGCAAGGGUCCUCAGACCGCCGCAGCAGGCGAUCAUCGGGCGCAGCAGCCGCCGAGAUUCCUCGCCGCAUCUGUGGCGUGACCGCCGCCAAAGCAAAAGGCCUCUGACCGCCGCAGCAGGCGAUCAUCGGGCGCAGCAGCCGCCGAGAUUCCUCGCCGCAUCUGUGGCGUGACCACCGCCGAAGCAAAAAGCCUCUGACCGCCGCAGCAGGCGAUCAUCGGGCGCAGCAGCCGCCGAGAUUCCUCGCCGCAUCUGUGGCGUGACCACUGCCGAAGUAAAGGGUCCUCUGACCGCCGCAGCAGGCGAUCAUCGGGCGCAGCAGCCGCCGAGGUUCCUCGCCGCACCUGUGGCGUGACCACAGCCGAAGCAAGGAUCCUUUGACCGCCGCAGCAAGGCGAUUAUCGGGUGCAGCAGCCGCCAAAGUUCCUCGCCGCAUCCGCGGCGUUACAGCUGGAAGCCACCGCCGAAGCAAAGAGCCUCUGACCGCCACAGCAGGCGAUUAUCGGGUGCAGCAUCCACAGCAAAUUUCGUCGCCGCAUCAGAGGCGAGAGACAUCGGAAGUCCAGGCCGAGGAGGAAGCAUGUUGCAACCUUGUGAAACGAAAAAAGUGAUUGUCUCUGUAAACGCAGAUAUUCCAUUAAACUUUACGUCGACAACGAUAAGAACAAAACAUUAACGUUCAUGUGAAAAGGUGAUGGUAUCUGGAAUGGUGAUAGAAUGGUAUGAACGAUUUACUGCAAUUUUUCUUUAAUCGUAAAAAUAAUCUCAAACCUUUACUCAUACCGUCCAUUCUUUCUGUCAUACGCACUCAAAAAACGAACGAAACGCCGGUCAAGGAUGCCAGAUGGUUUUACACGGUAAUCAGUAAAAUAAGUACAACAUCUAAGGCC
RNA transcript from Uranotaenia lowii, 2304 nucleotides. It is a transcript of the gene named retinol dehydrogenase 12-like, with no coding region annotated. The transcript is spliced from 4 exons. The record is from RefSeq and is a predicted model, not a curated record. NCBI's taxonomy places the organism in Eukaryota, Metazoa, Arthropoda, Insecta, Diptera, Culicidae.